AGAGUUUGAUCCUGGCUCAGAACGAACGCUGGCGGCGUGGCUAAGACAUGCAAGUCGCGGGGUGAAAAUGAUCCGUAGCAAUACGGUGAAACACGACCGGCGCAAGGGUGAGUAAUGGAUGCGUAACGUGCCCUGGACACGGGGAUAGCCGUCCGAAAGGACGAUUAAUACCCGAUGAGAUCACGACCUCGCAUGAGGAUGGGAUCAAACGGUGGGGACCGCAAGGCCUACCGGUCUGGGAUCGGCGCAUUUCCUAUCAGCUAGUUGGUGAGGUAAUGGCCCACCAAGGCUUCGACGGGUAGCGGGACUGAGAGGUUGGCCCGCCACAUUGGCACUGAGACACUGGCCAGACUCCUACGGGAGGCUGCAGUAACGGAUCUUCCACAAUGGGCGCAAGCCUGAUGGAGCGACGCCGCGUGCAGGAGGAAGCCCUUCGGGGUGUAAACUGCUGUCAGGGGUAAGCAAGCGACCCGGGUGAAUAAUCCGGGAAGUUGAGCUAUCCCAGAGGAAGCCACGGCUAACUCUGUGCCAGCAGCCGCGGUAAUACAGAGGUGGCAAGCGUUGUUCGGAAUCACUGGGCUUAAAGGGCGCGCAGGCGGUCGGAAGGGUGUCUUGUGAAAUCCCUCGGCUUAACCGAGGAAUUGCCAGGCAAACCGUCCGACUUGAGGCAGGUAGGGGUCGAUGGAACUCUGGGUGGAGCGGUGAAAUGCGUAGAUAUCCAGGGGAACGCCAAUGGCGAAAGCAGUCGACUGGGUCUGUCCUGACGCUGAGGCGCGAAAGCCAGGGGAGCAAACGGGAUUAGAUACCCCGGUAGUCCUGGCCCUAAACGAUGUCCACUGGGUUUGAGAAUCUCUGACGAUGCUCGAGCCGCAACAAAAGUGUUAAGUGGACCGCCUGGGGAGUACGGCGCAAGGCUAAACUCAAAGGAAUUG
Molecule: ribosomal RNA, 932 nt
Filed under: uncultured bacterium
Lineage: Bacteria
Description: bacterial SSU rRNA
Rfam family: Bacterial small subunit ribosomal RNA
Source: RNAcentral